This is a small nuclear RNA of Echinops telfairi (small Madagascar hedgehog), 136 nucleotides long. RefSeq annotates it as U4 spliceosomal RNA. The transcript has a single exon. The record is from RefSeq and is a predicted model, not a curated record. Lineage: Eukaryota; Metazoa; Chordata; Mammalia; Afrosoricida; Tenrecidae.
AUCUUUGUGCAGUGGCUGUACUGUGGCCAAAGAGGUCUACCCGAGGCACGAUUUGUGCUAAUUGAAAACUUUUCCCGGAUCAUAUUGCUUCCAAAUGUGUUAUGAAAAACUACUUUUUGAGAGGCAGGCAAGCAGC